Molecule: ribosomal RNA, 120 nt
Filed under: uncultured bacterium
Lineage: Bacteria
Description: partial 16S ribosomal RNA
Rfam family: Bacterial small subunit ribosomal RNA
Source: RNAcentral
GAUGAACGCUAGCGGGAGGCCUAAUACAUGCAAGUCGAGGGGUAACAGGGUCUUCGGACCGCUGACGACCGGCGCACGGGUGAGUAACGCGUACACAACCUACCUUUAAGAGGGGGAUAG